CACGCAGGCGGUUGGAUAAGUUAGAUGUGAAAGCCCCGGGCUCAACCUGGGAAUUGCAUUUAAAGCUGUCCAGCUAGAGUCUUGUAGAGGGGGUAGAAUUCCAGGUGUAGCGGUGAAAUGCGUAGAGAUCUGGAGGAAUACCGGUGGCGAAGGCGGCCCCCUGGACAAAGACUGACGCUCAGGUGCGAAAGCGUGGGGAGCAAACA
This 206-nucleotide ribosomal RNA is filed under the name uncultured bacterium. RNAcentral describes it as "partial 16S ribosomal RNA". It matches the Rfam family "Bacterial small subunit ribosomal RNA", at positions 568 to 774 of the family's 1533-position model. The record is from RNAcentral.